Molecule: ribosomal RNA, 484 nt
Filed under: uncultured bacterium
Lineage: Bacteria
Description: partial 16S ribosomal RNA
Rfam family: Bacterial small subunit ribosomal RNA
Source: RNAcentral
AUUGAACGCUGGCGGCAUGCUUUACACAUGCAAGUCGAACGGCAGCGCGGGCUUCGGCCUGGCGGCGAGUGGCGAACGGGUGAGUAAUGCAUCGGAACGUGCCCAGUAGUGGGGGAUAGCCCGGCGAAAGCCGGAUUAAUACCGCAUACGACCUGAGGGUGAAAGCGGGGGACCGAAAGGCCUCGCGCUAUUGGAGCGGCCGAUGUCGGGUUAGCUAGUUGGUGGGGUAAAGGCUUACCAAGGCGACGAUCCGUAGCUGGUCUGAGAGGACGACCGGCCACACUGGGACUGAGACACGGCCCAGACUCCUACGGGAGGCAGCAGUGGGGAAUUUUGGACAAUGGGGGCAACCCUGAUCCAGCCAUGCCGCGUGCGGGAAGAAGGCCUUCGGGUUGUAAACCGCUUUUGUUCGGGAAGAAAUCCUCUGGGCUAAUACCCCGGGGGGAUGACGGUACCGGAAGAAUAAGCACCGGCUAACUACGUG